UGUGUAGGCGGUUCUUUAAGUUUGGUGUGAAAUCUCCCGGCUUAACCGGGAGGGUGCGCCGAAUACUGAGGGACUAGAGUACGGGAGAGGAAAGUGGAAUUCCUGGUGUAGCGGUGAAAUGCGUAGAUAUCAGGAGGAACACCGGUGGUGUAGACGGCUUUCUGGACCGUAACUGACGCUGAGACACGAAAGCGUGGGGAGCAAACAGGAUUAGAUACCCUGGUAGUCCACGCUGUAAACGAUGUGUGCUAGACGUUGGGGAGCGCAGCUCUUCGGUGUCGCCGCAAACGCUUUAAGCACACCGCCUGGGGAGUACGGCCGCAAGGUUAAA
Molecule: ribosomal RNA, 331 nt
Filed under: uncultured bacterium
Lineage: Bacteria
Description: bacterial SSU rRNA
Rfam family: Bacterial small subunit ribosomal RNA
Source: RNAcentral